Long non-coding RNA from Capsicum annuum, 384 nucleotides. RefSeq lists it as uncharacterized. Lineage: Eukaryota; Viridiplantae; Streptophyta; Magnoliopsida; Solanales; Solanaceae. The record is from RefSeq and is a predicted model, not a curated record. The transcript has 2 exons.
GUUGCGCUUCAUUUGCUGCUCUCUUUUGAUGUAGCUGUGUUCUCCAGUGGAUGGGACUCCUUUCUUGUUUUUAGCUAUGUUGUGUUGAGGGAUCCUGUCAACUGGAUGAUGUUAACUAUUUUGAAUAUGACCGGUAUGGAGAUAAUGGAAUGCUUGGAACCAUAAGUGUUCAGAUUGUAACAUUUUUUCCACUGUUUCACUAUAUUUGUUGCCUUUUUGGCUUGUAAAUUAAUGCAUGUGAAAAAACUAAGUUGUAGCCUUUCCAUCCCCCUCACCUUUUUGUUGUUGACAAUCUUAAGUAAGGGCAUUGUAAUUUAUCACUGUUAAUUAAUUUUCUUCCUUUGGACUCCAGAAAGCUUGUGAAUGAGAAAAUUUCUUUCUCAA